CCAACGGAAAACUGACUCAGCCUGGCCACAGGGGCUGCAGUGGCUUGGCCAGAUCUGAGAAGGCUGGGAGAUUCUGCAGAUCUGUCUGGGCAGUGAAGUCUGGGGAGCACUUCUCCCCUCUAGGGGUGCGGAAACCUCAGAGGGAAGGGCCAGCAGAGCAGGGAAAGGGCAGAAGUGGGAGGAUGAGAGGAGCAUCUGGCCAAGAAGCCAAGACCCCAAAAUCGAGGGCCGAGAAGGCCACACAGACCCGGAAAGAGACAGCCUGUCUUGUAACCUCAGAAGGAGGUAAACCUCGGAGUGCACUUCGGCAUCCUCCCCGCAGCCCGACCGCCGGGAUUAGCAGCUACCAGAGAGACCAGAAUCAGUCGUUAACCCAGAAGAGAUGUCGCACGUCCACCUGCUUUAUACUUAAGGCACAAAGUGGCACUUAUGGCUGCAACCGCCACGAGGGCUGUGCUCCCCCCCCCCCGCUGUCUCUGCUGAAACAGAAAACAAGAACCCCCGUCCCUCCAAGAUCUCAAGAUUUUAAAUGCCAGGAAUCUGUACUUCCUUUAUUUUAAUACUCGAGAGCCUGGGGCUCACUGUUUCUAUGUAAAACACAGGUAGUAGCUAGUACACCCAACACAUCCUAGAACAUUCUGUACCCCCCCCCCAACUUUAAGGGAUGAUCGUAGUUCACCAAGUAAGGAGAUGGAUUAUCUGCUGGGAUCAAGAACAUGCCACCCCACCCCAUCUAGAAACCAAUUCUCUGCGUAUGAGAUGACAUCCUGGGGCGACGGUAAAGCUCCUUCUUCAGGACCCCCCGCACCUGACAUAAGGAGCAUGUGCUGAAGUUUUUCCUACAAUUUGAACAGAACCCAUUUUCUGGGCUCUUUAUUGGUUUAAAGUUGUAUCUCAGAGCCACAGCUCAGACAAUGAAGAGCCCCAAGUGCACCCAAAUUCAAUGGUGCAAGGUCUGAAGU
Camelus dromedarius (Arabian camel) is the source of this 962-nucleotide long non-coding RNA. RefSeq lists it as uncharacterized. NCBI's taxonomy places the organism in Eukaryota, Metazoa, Chordata, Mammalia, Artiodactyla, Camelidae. The transcript is spliced from 3 exons. The record is from RefSeq and is a predicted model, not a curated record.